AAGUAGCCUCUCGCCUGCCCACCUGUGCGCCCGGGGCCCUCCACCUUCGCCGUGGCCGCGUCUGGGGCUGGCGAACCGGUCCCGCGGCGGGCCCGCCGUUCCUUCACGCUCUCGGUCGCGCUCGCCCCUGUACCGGUGUUUUGAAUCCGAGUCCCCUGCGCGUAUCUGGCUCCCACGCCUGCGCGGUGCGGGGACCCCGAGCUGGGCGCUCCCAGUUGGCUGCAGGCAGGUUGGCAAAGAGUGGACCCUGCCAGGCGGGUGUAGACGCUGGGUUCCCCGGGAAGGGGGUGAGCCCAGGCAGGCGGGCGUGGAGUCAUCGUCCCUGUCUGGAAAGGGAGUGGACAGAGACCAGAGCGCUCCUGUUAACCUCUCUUUACAAAGGUGGAUUUCUAUGGUAAAAAGAAAAUCGGAUCCCCAAAUAAUGCGUGUUUGUUGUAGAGAAUUUAGAACAUACAACAAAGUACGAAGAAAAAUUUGACAUCACCUAGAUGAUGGAAUUGCAGGCUCCAACAGAAGACUGUCCACAGGGAAGAAUGAUCGAUUCCAGCCCCAACGGGGAAGAUGUGCACUGCGUCUCCGGCAAGAAAUUGGCCACUCCUGCAACUCAGUCAACGAGAAUCGGUCCUCACCCUGAACUCUUGCUUUCCUGGAUGUACUUUUGAGCCAUUCUCAACUUUUUCCUUCUCCGUAAAAUACCGUUCCUCUCCUGUUUGUUGGACUUGCCUAAGGUUUUGCCAUCGUUCAGAUGUCCCAAGUUGCAAUUCUCUGUUAUUCCCGAAUAAACCCAUUUGCUGGUAAGA
This is a long non-coding RNA of Felis catus (domestic cat), 800 nucleotides long. RefSeq lists it as uncharacterized. The transcript is spliced from 2 exons. The record is from RefSeq and is a predicted model, not a curated record. Lineage: Eukaryota; Metazoa; Chordata; Mammalia; Carnivora; Felidae.